CCUACGGGGGGCAGCAGUGAGGAAUAUUGGUCAAUGGACGAGAGUCUGAACCAGCCAAGUAGCGUGAAGGAUGACUGCCCUAUGGGUUGUAAACUUCUUUUAUAUGGGAAUAAAAUGUUCCACGUGUGGGAGUUUGUAUGUACCAUAUGAAUAAGGAUCGGCUAACUCCGUGCCAGCAGCCGCGGUAAUACGGAGGAUCCGAGCGUUAUCCGGAUUUAUUGGGUUUAAAGGGAGCGUAGGUGGAUUGUUAAGUCAGUUGUGAAAGUUUGGGGCUCAACCGUAAAAUUGCAGUUGAAACUGGCAGUCUUGAGUACAGGAGAGGUAGGCGGAAUGCGUGGUGUAGCGGUGAAAUGCUUAGAUAUCACGAAGAACUCCGAUUGCGAAGGCAGCUCACUGGACUGCAACUGACACUGAGGCACGAAAGUGUGGGUAUCAAACAGGAUUAGAUACCCUUGUAGUC
RNAcentral lists this ribosomal RNA (460 nucleotides) under uncultured bacterium. Its description in RNAcentral is "partial 16S ribosomal RNA". It matches the Rfam family "Bacterial small subunit ribosomal RNA", at positions 338 to 795 of the family's 1533-position model. The record is from RNAcentral.